This 407-nucleotide ribosomal RNA is filed under the name uncultured bacterium. RNAcentral describes it as "partial 16S ribosomal RNA". It matches the Rfam family "Bacterial small subunit ribosomal RNA", at positions 29 to 526 of the family's 1533-position model. The record is from RNAcentral.
AUUGAACGCUGGCGGCAGGCCUAACACAUGCAAGUCGAGCGGAGCGGCGGACGGGUGAGUAAUGCCUGGGAAUCUGCCUGGUAGUGGGGGAUAACGUCCGGAAACGGGCGCUAAUACCGCAUACUAUCAGAUGAGCCUAGGUCGGAUUAGCUAGUUGGUGGGGUAAAGGCCUACCAAGGCGACGAUCCGUAACUGGUCUGAGAGGAUGAUCAGUCACACUGGAACUGAGAAACGGGCCAGACUCCUAAGGGAGGCAGCAGUGGGGAAUAUUGGACAAUGGGCGAAAGUCUGACGGGGCAACGCCGCGGGAGGGAUGACGGACUUCGGGUUGUAAAGCUCUGUUAAUCGGGACGCGGUACCGGAAUAGAAAGCCACGGCUAACUACGUGCCAGCCGCCGCGGUAAUUC